AAUUUGAAAAUGAUUGUGGCCGUGAUGGUCCGAGAAUGUAAAGCCUUAGAGUGAUAAUCCUGUUCCACUCAAUGUAAGCCAAUAACAGCAAUGAUUUGCAUUUGUGUGGACCGUUUUAGAUAUUCAUCAAACUAAAAUGUUUCAAACAUUGGUGAAAAAAGUUUAUUUUACAUUGAAUAUCUUAAAGAAGGUUAGAGAGGUUUAAGGAGGCAAUUCCGGAUCUUGUUGGCUCACCAGCUGAAAAUGGUGAAUGCUGUGUUGCGUGGGGUUUCGGAAAACGUUUGUAGCAAGUGAAGAUUACCUACAUUGUGGAAAUAGGCCCUUCGGCCCUGCAAGUCUACACAGCCCCUUGAAGCAUCCCACUCAGACCCAUCCCCCUGUAACCCACACACCCCUGAACACUACAGGCAAUUUAGCAUAGCCAAUCCACCUACCUGCGCAGCUUAGGACUGAGGGAGGAAACCAGAGCACACCCACACAGACACAGGGAGAAUGUGCAAACUCCACACAGACAUUUGCCGGAGGCUGGAAUCGAACCUGUGUCCCUGGUGCUGUAAGGCUGCAGUUCUAGCCACUGAGCCACCAUGCUGCCCUAGAUCUUAAGACUGGAAGAGUUUAGAGGAACUGUAACAGACAGUACCACAGCUGUACAAGAGGUGUCUGCUGUUGGAAACAAUGUAAUGAAUACUGUUCGGAGGACAGAGCCUGAUUAAAGUCGUAGCAGCUGAAGGUGUGUGGGCUGAAGACACUACGCCGCAGAAUUCUUGCAGUGAUAUCCAGGCGCUGAGACGAUUGCACUCCAAUGCUGUCAGGCUUGCUGACUAUUCCAGCAACUUUUGUUUUUGCUCCUGAUACACACCAUCCAAAAUUCUUCAGGAGGAGUUCGAUAUAGUUCUGAGGGCCAAAGAGAUAAAAUGAUGUGGGGUCCCUGAGCUGGAUGAUCAGCCGUGAUUAAUUUGAAGAUCAGAACAGGCAAGAAAGGAUGAGUGGACGAUUCUUACUCCAAUUUUUGAAGUUUCCACCAUUACCAGAGAAAUGGAAAGGAUUGACGAGGAUAAAGUGAGAGCCAGGAAUAACAGCACAAUGUAUAAAUCACUGCGAAUGGAGAAAUGGGAUAAAGACCUGGGAUGGAUUCAGAGAAUGAGUACAGAACAGAAAGGUGCUGUUGUGCACCAUAUCUGCCACAGUAAUGAGGCACACCAAGGUCCAUCAACUAUCUACAAUCUGCGUUUACAAGGCUAUGGGAUGGUUAUGGAGGAACAAGUUGAGAUGCAAAACAGGGCCGGAGAUCAUCCAUCACCGCCCUCACCCUCAACCCUUACAGAUUACAGAGGUUCAUCUUGGCCUGUCCCACUAUUUGGCGGGACUGGGUCCAGCUUCACGAAGCUGCCAGCUGAUAGUCAGCUGUGUCAACUUGGCCGGGUUGGAAUGUUUCAAGGAGCAGAUCAUGGGCGAUAUCGGAGCAGGCACCUUCUCUGCUCCUCUUCAUCCUCCUGUUGUGGCUCUUUUACUGGAGCUCUGUUGGUGACCGUUUCUAAACUCUUAUCUCCACAUCCUCGUAUUGUACGUGUAGGUGGCUAUGGUGAGCCCUCGAAUUUUUAAAAGGUCAAUGUCUUAUCAGUGUUACUUAUGCAUUUGUUGGAACAUUUUUUAAAAUUCAUAGAGAACCGCUAAAUCCAUUUUGCCCCUCCAGUUGUUUUUACAUAAAACUCCAUUCUUGGAUGUGAACAAAUUUAAGUAGUGUCAAACAGGAAAUAUUGCCAAACCGCAGCAGUCUGUUGAGCAAGUAGGAGUGGACCAUGUGAACCACGAGAAUCCCUAUGCUUUCUUUCUGAGAAUUCUCACGCUGAGAUGAGGAAUGAACGCAGAUAGUUGUAGAAGUCAAGAAACACAAUUGACAUUUGUGUUGCAUUAUCACUAUAAUGAAAUGUUCACUAGAAUUUCAGAGAUAUUAUAUUACAAGAUUUAUCACAAAGAGACAUAAUACUGAUGAUCAAGAGUGUUGCAAAAUGUAUCAGCUUGAAGGGCAAUUUUGAAAAGGAGAGAGUCAGAGAUGUUUGAAGCGGGAACUACAGAACUUGAGGCCAAUUAUUGAGGUUAUUAAUCGAUGGAAAAGGACAAUUUCAGAUGCUGCCAGGAUUGCUGAGUACUUACCGCACUUUCUUUCUGCAUCUGUUCUUAGUUCUGAGGACUCAAGGGAUCAAAUUGUUUGAGGAUAAAGGUCCUUCACUCGCAAAUCUCCAACCUCAGUAGUUCACUGCAAACAGUGACUGAUUUUAACGGUAGUCAACUAUUUUAUGUGGUAAUUUUUCUCCCAAGUCUUGACUUCACAAUUGUCCAGAUUAAUUUCUCUCAAUUUAACAACCUGCGUAUCUUCUCUUUUCUCCUUUCUUUUCCUGUUUUGAAAGAUUGAUUUGCAACUUGAGGUGCAGAUGAAACCAUAUCCAGAUCUGACAGCCACUCUCUUCAUCAUAACCAAAUUGUCAAAACGUUUUGAACAUUGAAGAAAAAAUACCACUCAUACUGGAGAGGAACACACUUUCUCUCUGUGUGGAAGUGUCUGUGAAGAUUCAUCUAAAAGGUCAAAACACCAGAGCAGUCAUAUUAGAGACAGUGUGGAAAUGUGGGGAUUGUGGGAAGUCUUUUUUUAAAAGAAUCAUCACAGCUGAAAGCUCACCAACUCAGUCUGUUAAAAAAUUGUAAUCGUGAGUAAUCGUGAAUUGGAAGGCAGGAAGCGAGAAUUUGUUUGUAAAAUAACAUUCAGGGACAAGAUUGUAUGGUACCUUGAAGGGAUAGUGCUUUUCUAAGCCUAGGGAUUUAUACUGAGAGAGAAAAAAAAGUGUCUGCAUAUAGCUGAAGGUGUACAGCCCGUUCUAAAAUUGAAACACGUAUCAAUUGGCUGUGUGAACGGAAACCUUGUUUUGGUGUUUUGGCAAUGAGCUGGAAUCAGCCAAUUUGUCUCAUCCAAGCAUUAGCAAUUCAAAGACAAUUGAAUUUAAACCUGGUGGUUUUGAUAGUUUAGCAUGAAUGCUAUUGUAAUAAAAUUGACAUGUCAUCCCAGUAGAUAACGAGAGAUUUUGAAAAUCAGUGUGAGAAUGAAUGGUCAUCUGAGAAGUAAUCAUCUAUCUCUCACAAGCAAUCACUGAGGUCUCUAAGAAAGCACCUGUAUCCAUAAAAGUCACCAUGGUAUUUCUAGUUAAGAGCCCUCACAAAGUACUUCACAGAGAAAACAUCCCUGACACCCGGAUCCGUGGAAUAAAGGCAUUUAUGACGUGAGAGCAGCAGAAAUAAAGCGCGUAGACUUUGAGAGACUAAGAUUUUAUUUUCUUGUCUUACUACUUGGAUUAUAUAAGUGGGACUUAUGUUUAUUGGAAUAGCGUACCAGUAGAACUUAGUCCAUUUAGGGAAUAGUUAGUAGUUAUUGG
Molecule: long non-coding RNA, 3425 nt
Organism: Stegostoma tigrinum
Lineage: Eukaryota; Metazoa; Chordata; Chondrichthyes; Orectolobiformes; Stegostomatidae
Exons: 4
Source: RefSeq, a predicted model, not a curated record